ACGGCUCAGUAACACGUCGAUAAUCUGCCCUUAGGUUAGGGAUACCCACGGAAAACUGUGGCUAAACCCUAAUAAUGAAGAAAUUCUGGAACGAAUUUUUCAUCAAACGCAAGGCCUAAGGGAUGAGUCGGGCGGCGGAUUAGGGCAGUUGGGCGGUGUAAACGGACCACCAAACCCUAAGAUCCGUAGGGGCCCCUGAGAGGGGUAGCCCCGAGAGGGACACUGAAAUACUGGUCCCAGCUCCACGGAGUGCAGCAGGCGCGUAACCUCCACAAUGCGCGAAAGCGUGAUGGGGGGAUCCAGAGUGCUUACACUUUUUAUGUAAGCUUUUGCCAAGGGCAAAUACCUUGGAGAAUAAGUGGUGGGUAAGACCGGUGCCAGCAGCCGCGGUAACCCCGGCGCCACGAGUGGCAAUCUUAUAUUUGGCCUAAAGCAUUCGUAGCCGGUUUGAAAAAUCCUUUGUGAAAUCGUUGAACUCAAUACAACGGCGUGCAGAGGACACUUUUAGACUAGAGAUUGGGAGGAGUUAGGGGUAUGUCUGGGGGAGCGGUUAAAUGUGAUAAUCCCAGACAGACCACCUGUGGCGAAGGCGCCUAACUAGAACAAUUCUGACGGUGAGGGAUGAAAGCUAGGGGAGCGAUCCGGAUUAGAUACCCGAGUAGUCCUAGCUGUAAACUCUGUGAGCUAGGUGUCGCAUAUUCUACGCGAAUGUGCGGUGUCGAAACGAAGGUGAUAAGC
This 738-nucleotide ribosomal RNA is filed under the name uncultured euryarchaeote. Its description in RNAcentral is "bacterial SSU rRNA". It matches the Rfam family "Archaeal small subunit ribosomal RNA", at positions 85 to 820 of the family's 1478-position model. The record is from RNAcentral. Lineage: Archaea; Methanobacteriati; Methanobacteriota.